GGGAAUUGUAGCAGGAAGCCAGAGCAGAUGUGUAGCCACUGAACCAAUCAGGAAGUGACCUCCAUGUUUUGAGAAUUGAAGAAAACUUCAGUGAAUGGCAGAGUAAUCCAUUGGCUGAAAAGAGUGCUCUUCCAGGAUUUGCCAAACAUUCCUUAAGUUAGCUUCUCAUUAAU
RNAcentral lists this long non-coding RNA (173 nucleotides) under Mustela putorius furo (domestic ferret). Its description in RNAcentral is "lncRNA (ENSMPUG00000026476.1)". Lineage: Eukaryota; Metazoa; Chordata; Mammalia; Carnivora; Mustelidae. The record is from RNAcentral.